Long non-coding RNA from Corapipo altera (White-ruffed manakin), 115 nucleotides. RefSeq lists it as uncharacterized. The transcript is spliced from 3 exons. The record is from RefSeq and is a predicted model, not a curated record. NCBI's taxonomy places the organism in Eukaryota, Metazoa, Chordata, Aves, Passeriformes, Pipridae.
AUGUCACCUCAAAGCUUUCUCUUGUCCAGGUUGAACAAUCUCAGUUCUCUCAGGCUUUCCUCAUAGGAGAAGUGCUCCAUUCCUCUAAUCAAUUUGGUGUCCUCCUCUGGACUCA